Molecule: long non-coding RNA, 480 nt
Organism: Ruditapes philippinarum (Manila clam)
Lineage: Eukaryota; Metazoa; Mollusca; Bivalvia; Venerida; Veneridae
Exons: 4
Source: RefSeq, a predicted model, not a curated record
CGAUAACGCAACGGGUUGUGAUAACAGUAGAGUAUUCAAUUAGCUGCUAAGGGAGCGUGGUGUGUAAGGUUUUUGAUUUCAUUAUUUAACAGAAACAAGAUAUACGCAGGCUUAACACGAACUGUUUUGUGAACGUUUUAUCAUUUACUGAAUACUGAAAAACAGUCUUAUGAUUUGAUAGAAAUCGUUCAAACGACAAAUUGUGCAGAAGGAAAGAGGUCAGACAAAUUUAACUAUGAAUGUCGAGUGAGAAACACAGUACGUGUGGUUUUAAAAAGAAGUCAACACACAUAAAGGUUAUAUUAUUGCCUCCAGAUAUUUAGAUCUAUCCAAACUAUACCUGUGCAUUGGCCGACUAUUGUGACAAAAAGGCAAGCAUGGACGUCAAGUCAAAACGUGAUUUCUUUGAAUUGAAAAGUAAACAACCCAUUCAGACUCCACAAAAGAUUAUACAAGAAGAACGUCAUAGACCACCAAAAG